AGUGAACGCUGGCGGUAGGCCUAACACAUGCAAGUCGAACGGCAGCACAGUAAGAGCUUGCUCUUACGGGUGGCGAGUGGCGGACGGGUGAGGAAUACAUCGGAAUCUACUUUUUCGUGGGGGAUAACGUAGGGAAACUUACGCUAAUACCGCAUACGACCUACGGGUGAAAGCAGGGGAUCUUCGGACCUUGCGCGAUUGAAUGAGCCGAUGUCGGAUUAGCUAGUUGGCGGGGUAAAGGCCCACCAAGGCGACGAUCCGUAGCUGGUCUGAGAGGAUGAUCAGCCACACUGGAAAUGAGACACGGUCCAGACUCCUACGGGAGGCAGCAGUGGGGAAUAUUGGACAAUGGGCGCAAGCCUGAUCCAGCCAUACCGCGUGGGUGAAGAAGGCCUUCGGGUUGCAAAGCCCUUUUGUUGGGAAAGAAAAGCAGCAGGUUAAUAACCCGCUGUUCUGACGGUACCCAAAGAAUAAGCACCGGCUAACUUCGUG
Molecule: ribosomal RNA, 492 nt
Filed under: uncultured bacterium
Lineage: Bacteria
Description: partial 16S ribosomal RNA
Rfam family: Bacterial small subunit ribosomal RNA
Source: RNAcentral